AGUUCUCUAUUUUGUGUUUUUUCUGAAGAUAAAUGGAAGUGCAAAUGCAGUCCGCUAGUGAUUUGCUCUUGAGGUUCAUUUUACUUAUGUUUGCAGGAAAAAAGGGUGGUGUGGUUCGGUUGGAUGCCCCGUUACUAAAAAAUCUUGUUGAGAAACUGCAGUUUUCUGUAAAGAUAUAUGUUUGAGUAGUGUCCGAAUUUACCAAGGUGUUAGCUUUCUUAUUCAGGAAGAGGUUGUCAAGAAGACAAAAUCAGUUGGGAAGCUCAAACAAGAAGCUGAGAAUUGCCUAUAAUAGAGUGAAAGAUUUAACAACGAGAAGGCUGAGUUUGAGCAAGCUUCCUUCACAAAAGGGGAUGGAGGUGCAGCGAGAUCCUGGAGAGGCCGCGCCGAUGCAUCUUCUAAAGGGUGACUCGAAACCAGCAGAGGGACAUGGAU
Long non-coding RNA from Triticum aestivum (bread wheat), 435 nucleotides. RefSeq lists it as uncharacterized. The transcript is spliced from 3 exons. NCBI's taxonomy places the organism in Eukaryota, Viridiplantae, Streptophyta, Magnoliopsida, Poales, Poaceae. The record is from RefSeq and is a predicted model, not a curated record.